This is a non-coding RNA of Beta vulgaris subsp. vulgaris (sugar beet), 159 nucleotides long. The record is from Rfam. Lineage: Eukaryota; Viridiplantae; Streptophyta; Magnoliopsida; Caryophyllales; Amaranthaceae.
AUAUGCAUUACUGGGCAAAGUCACCUUUGGCAGGCAGUCAUUUAGUCGUAACUCGAAAGCUUAUAGCUAAAUUCAUAUAGCUGAUAAUAACUUAAUAAAUCAGCUUGUUGGAGGCUAAGUGAGCUCACUGCCAAAGGAGAUUUGCCCGGCAAUGUAUUU